GGGUGAUUAGCUCAGUUGGUAGAGCAUUACGUUGACAUCGUAAAGGUCGGUGGUUCGAGUCCACUAUCACCCACCA
RNAcentral lists this transfer RNA (76 nucleotides) under Rickettsia australis str. Cutlack. RNAcentral's name for it is "tRNA-Val (GAC) (tRNA-Val-GAC-1-1)". It matches the Rfam family "tRNA". Rfam says of the family: Transfer RNA (tRNA) molecules are approximately 80 nucleotides in length. Their secondary structure includes four short double-helical elements and three loops (D, anti-codon, and T loops). Lineage: Bacteria; Pseudomonadati; Pseudomonadota; Alphaproteobacteria; Rickettsiales; Rickettsiaceae. The record is from RNAcentral.